GAUGAAGAACGUAGCGAAAUGCGAUAAGUAGCGUGAAUUGCAGAAUUUAGUGAAUCAUCGAAUCUUUGAACGCACAUUGCGCCCUUUGGUAUUCCUUAGGGCAUGCCUGUUCGAGCGUCAUCUACACCCUCAAGCACAGCUUGGUGAUGGGCGCCUGUCCCGCCCCCCACGGGGGCGCGGACUCGCCUCAAAUGCAUUGGCGGCCGGCGACCUGGCUUCGAGCGCAGCAGAAACGCGUACUCGGGGACCGGGCGCCCGCUCCCAGAAGCCAACCCACCCAGUUUGACCUCGGAUCAGGUAGGGAUACCCGCUGAACUUAAGCAUAUCAAUAAGCGGAGGA
RNAcentral lists this unclassified non-coding RNA (340 nucleotides) under soil metagenome. RNAcentral's name for it is "partial contains 5.8S ribosomal RNA, internal transcribed spacer 2, and large subunit ribosomal RNA". The stretch from base 1 to 120 matches the Rfam family "5.8S ribosomal RNA", at positions 35 to 154 of the family's 154-position model. The record is from RNAcentral.